This 816-nucleotide ribosomal RNA is filed under the name Anaerococcus hydrogenalis. RNAcentral describes it as "bacterial SSU rRNA". It matches the Rfam family "Bacterial small subunit ribosomal RNA", at positions 41 to 866 of the family's 1533-position model. The record is from RNAcentral. Lineage: Bacteria; Bacillati; Bacillota; Tissierellia; Tissierellales; Peptoniphilaceae.
GGCGUGCAUAACACAUGCAAGUCGAACGAUGAAACUUGAAUGAUUUUUCGGAAUGAACUUAAGUGGAUUAGUGGCGAACGGGUGAGUAACACGUGAGUAACCUGCCUUACACAAGGGGAUAGCCUCUGGAAACGGAGAAUAAUACCCUAUAAAGUCUAAUCAGCCCAUGCUGGAAAGACCAAAGAUUUAUCGGUGUAAGAUGGACUUGCGUCUGAUUAGCUAGUUGGUGAGAUAAAAGCUCACCAAGGCGACGAUCAGUAGCCGGCUUGAGAGAGUGUACGGCCACAUUGGGACUGAGACACGGCCCAAACUCCUACGGGAGGCAGCAGUGGGGAAUUUUGCACAAUGGGGGAAACCCUGAUGCAGCGACGCCGCGUGAUUUAGAAGGCCUUCGGGUUGUAAAAAUCUUUUUUACGGGAUGAAAAUGACAGUACCGUAAGAAUAAGGUCCGGCUAAAUACGUGCCAGCAGCCGCGGUAAUACGUAUGGACCGAGCGUUGUCCGGAAUCAUUGGGCGUAAAGGGUACGUAGGCGGCCUAGUAAGUUAGAAGUUAAAGAAUAUAGCUCAACUAUAUAAAGCUUUUAAAACUGCUAGGCUUGAGAGAUGGAAGGGAAAGUGGAAUUCCUAGUGUAGCGGUGAAAUGCGCAGAUAUUAGGAAGAAUACCGGUGGCGAAGGCGACUUUCUGGUCAUCAUCUGACGCUGAGGUACGAAAGCGUGGGUAGCAAACAGGAUUAGAUACCCUGGUAGUCCACGCUGUAAACGAUGAGUGUUAGGUUCUUGGAAUAAUCUGGGAGCCGCAGCUAACGCAUUAAACA